GAGUGAAAUGAUGGCAUUUCAUCUUUCGGGACAGACCUGAUAAUGGUGACAACUUUUUAAUACUGAUCACUC
Molecule: small nucleolar RNA, 72 nt
Organism: Salvelinus sp. IW2-2015
Lineage: Eukaryota; Metazoa; Chordata; Actinopteri; Salmoniformes; Salmonidae
Product: small nucleolar RNA SNORD2
Exons: 1
Source: RefSeq, a predicted model, not a curated record